This 253-nucleotide ribosomal RNA is filed under the name uncultured bacterium. RNAcentral's name for it is "partial 16S ribosomal RNA". It matches the Rfam family "Bacterial small subunit ribosomal RNA", at positions 524 to 776 of the family's 1533-position model. The record is from RNAcentral.
UACAGAGGGUGCGAGCGUUGUCCGGAAUCACUGGGCGUAAAGGGCGCGUAGGUGGCGGCCCAAGUCCGUGGUGAAAGCUCGCCGCUUAACGGCGAGUCGGCCACGGAGACUGGGUGGCUCGAGCACUGUAGGGGCAGAUGGAAUUCCGGGUGUAGCGGUGGAAUGCGUAGAGAUCCGGAAGAACACCAGUGGCGAAGGCGGUCUGCUGGGCAGUUGCUGACACUGAGGCGCGACGGCGUGGGGAGCAAACAGG